GGAGAUGUGGCACAGUAGUUAAGAGCACUGACUGCUCUUCUAGAGAUUCUGAGUUCAAAUCCCAGCAACUACA
This 73-nucleotide transfer RNA is filed under the name Mus musculus (house mouse). It matches the Rfam family "tRNA". Rfam says of the family: Transfer RNA (tRNA) molecules are approximately 80 nucleotides in length. The record is from Rfam by way of RNAcentral. Lineage: Eukaryota; Metazoa; Chordata; Mammalia; Rodentia; Muridae.